RNAcentral lists this ribosomal RNA (396 nucleotides) under uncultured bacterium. RNAcentral's name for it is "partial 16S ribosomal RNA". It matches the Rfam family "Bacterial small subunit ribosomal RNA", at positions 523 to 918 of the family's 1533-position model. The record is from RNAcentral.
AUACAGAGGGUGCGAGCGUUAAUCGGAUUUACUGGGCGUAAAGCGCGCGUAGGUGGUUGAUUAAGUCAAAUGUGAAAUCCCCGAGCUUAACUUGGGAAUUGCAUUCGAUACUGGUUAGCUAGAGUAUGGGAGAGGAUGGUAGAAUUCCAGGUGUAGCGGUGAAAUGCGUAGAGAUCUGGAGGAAUACCGAUGGCGAAGGCAGCCAUCUGGCCUAAUACUGACACUGAGGUGCGAAAGCAUGGGGAGCAAACAGGAUUAGAUACCCUGGUAGUCCAUGCCGUAAACGAUGUCUACUAGCCGUUGGGGGAUUUGAUCCUUUAGUGGCGCAGCUAACGCGAUAAGUAGACCGCCUGGGGAGUACGGUCGCAAGACUAAAACUCAAAUGAAUUGACGGGG